Molecule: unclassified non-coding RNA, 481 nt
Filed under: Talaromyces paucisporus
Lineage: Eukaryota; Fungi; Ascomycota; Eurotiomycetes; Eurotiales; Trichocomaceae
Description: partial contains ITS 1, 5.8S rDNA and ITS 2
Rfam family: 5.8S ribosomal RNA (bases 161-314)
Source: RNAcentral
GGCCCAACCUCCCACCCUUGUCUCUAUACACCUGUUGCUUUGGCGGGCCCACCGGGGUCACCUGGUCGCCGGGGGACGCACGUCCCCGGGCCCGCGCCCGCCGAAGCGCUCUGUGAACCCUGAUGAAGAUGGGCUGUCUGAGUACGAUGAAAAUCGUCAAAACUUUCAACAAUGGAUCUCUUGGUUCCGGCAUCGAUGAAGAACGCAGCGAAAUGCGAUAAGUAAUGUGAAUUGCANAAUUCCGUGAAUCAUCGAAUCUUUGAACGCACAUUGCGCCCCCUGGCAUUCCGGGGGGCAUGCCUGUCCGAGCGUCAUUUCUGCCCUCAAGCACGGCUUGUGUGUUGGGUGUGGUCCCCCCGGGGACCUGCCCGAAAGGCAGCGGCGGACGUCCGUCUGGUCCUCGAGCGCAUGGGGCUCUGUCACUCGCUCGGGAAGGACCUGCGGGGGUUGGUCACCACCACAUUUUACCACGGUUGACCUC